RNAcentral lists this long non-coding RNA (503 nucleotides) under Mytilus galloprovincialis (Mediterranean mussel). The record is from RNAcentral. Lineage: Eukaryota; Metazoa; Mollusca; Bivalvia; Mytilida; Mytilidae.
CAAAGGUCACGUGAGUUCAAUGGUGGGCACGGUAGAUCCUAUGGAGCAAUUUCAGUAAAGCACCAUUUGCGCAGAAAUUCAACGGUUAAAGAGGACCACAGUCCGACAUCUAAACGGCUGUCUGGUGUAAACAUCGAAUUCUGUAGACCAAAAAUCAUUCAUUAUGUACCAAAAAUCAUCAGUGGUGGUUACAUAGACGUUUGGCACCAGCCUUGGCCAAAAGUCAUGCGUUUCGCCAGAUUUAGGUCCGAUAGAGCAAAUUUUGCAUCAGAUUUGACAUGGUUUAGACGAUGAAAACCACCACCAAUAUCAUAAAGUCAGCUUGAGUUUGCUUUACAGGACAAGUGGAAUAACAUUCCUCGAGAUCACAUUAAACGUCCGGGAUGAUCAAUUCCACGGCGCUGUCGAGAUUGCGCUGCACAACGGGGUUGUAACAUUUUUAGUUAGGACUGUGAUUUGAUGAUUCGACAUUGGAUGUUUCGUUUAUCUAUUGCGCCCGAAAG